This is a small nuclear RNA of Benincasa hispida (wax gourd), 102 nucleotides long. Lineage: Eukaryota; Viridiplantae; Streptophyta; Magnoliopsida; Cucurbitales; Cucurbitaceae. The record is from RefSeq and is a predicted model, not a curated record.
GUCCCUUUGGAGACAUCCGAUAAAAUUGGAAUGAUACAGAGAAGAUUAGCAUGGUCCCUAUGCAGGGAUGACACGUCCAAAAUAAACAUCGGGUUGUUUUUA